Molecule: non-coding RNA, 65 nt
Filed under: Streptomyces sp. CB03238
Lineage: Bacteria; Bacillati; Actinomycetota; Actinomycetes; Kitasatosporales; Streptomycetaceae
Source: RNAcentral
UGCCGAAACCUCCGAAGGGAGGUCGUCCCAGGGUGGUGCCUGGGGCCUGACGACGGCAGCCGCUG